CCUAGGGAGGCUGCAGUGGGGAAUAUUGGACAAUGGGCGAAAGCCUGAUCCAGCCAUGCCGCGUGUGUGAAGAAGGCCUUCGGGUUGUAAAGCACUUUCAGUGGGGAAGAAAGCCUUGGGGCUAAUACCCUCGAGGAAGGACAUCACCCACAGAAGAAGCACCGGCUAACUCCGUGCCAGCAGCCGCGGUAAUACGGAGGGUGCGAGCGUUAAUCGGAAUUACUGGGCGUAAAGCGCGCGUAGGCGGUCUGAUAAGCCGGUUGUGAAAGCCCCGGGCUCAACCUGGGAACGGCAUCCGGAACUGUCAGGCUAGAGUGCAGGAGAGGAAGGUAGAAUUCCCGGUGUAGCGGUGAAAUGCGUAGAGAUCGGGAGGAAUACCAGUGGCGAAGGCGGCCUUCUGGACUGACACUGACGCUGAGGUGCGAAAGCGUGGGUAGCAAACAGGAUUAGAUACCCUUGUAGUC
RNAcentral lists this ribosomal RNA (464 nucleotides) under Vreelandella stevensii. RNAcentral describes it as "partial 16S ribosomal RNA". It matches the Rfam family "Bacterial small subunit ribosomal RNA", at positions 338 to 795 of the family's 1533-position model. Lineage: Bacteria; Pseudomonadati; Pseudomonadota; Gammaproteobacteria; Oceanospirillales; Halomonadaceae. The record is from RNAcentral.